Molecule: ribosomal RNA, 275 nt
Filed under: uncultured bacterium
Lineage: Bacteria
Description: partial 16S ribosomal RNA
Rfam family: Bacterial small subunit ribosomal RNA
Source: RNAcentral
ACACGUAGGGCGCAAGCGUUGUCCGGAUUUAUUGGGCGUAAAGGGCUCGUAGGCGGUUUCGUAAGUCGGGUGUGAAAACUCAGGGCUCAACCCUGAGACGCCACUCGAUACUGCGAUGACUUGAGUCCGGUAGGGGAGCAGGGAAUUCCUGGUGUAGCGGUGAAAUGCGCAGAUAUCAGGAGGAACACCAUUAGAGAAGGCGCUGCUCUGGGCCGGUACUGACGCUGAGGAGCGAAAGCAUGGGGAGCAAACAGGAUUAGAAACCCUAGUAGUCC